UUGUUGAAGUUCAAAUGUUUAUUGUUGGCUAUGCUGUGUUUGUUUUCUUUGCACUACUUCUUACAUUAGGAACCACCUUUAUCAUUUAUGCUAAAGGAAAGGAAUCCAAAAUUUGAAACAUGACGUUGAAGGAAAUUAAAGGAAAGGAAUCCAAAGUUUGAAACAUAAUGUUGAAGGAAACUAAAGGAAAGGAAUCCAAAGUGCUUUGAUGUUGCCAUAUACCAACCCCACUACACUAAUAAACAUGAUGUCUGCCAAAUAUAAGUAGCUGGAAAGCAAAUAAGUAGUACUACUCCACAUCCUUCACGUGCCAUUAUUCUCUUCAAUAAAAAACCAAGCACAGAUUAUAAUAUGUAAUGCUUAAGUUAGUAUAAAUAGGGAGAGAGAUUUGUUAUUCUUGCAUCCUAUCAUUUGAUUUUACAAACUCUUUGCUUGCUUGUUCAUUUUCUGCCACCUAGAGUCAUCUUUUUCUUUGUAAACAGAUAAGAUAAUCAAUCUGCCUGUUUAUCUAUGCUUAUAUAACCCGCGUAUUGGUUAAAAUUCACUUUUGGCUGCUCAGACAAGAUAAUCAGACUACCUAAUCAGCCACAAGUGGAUUUUACCGGUAUUCGAGUUAUGUAAGUAUAGAUGAAAGGCAAAGGAAGACAAUUUUUUUAUUAUUUCGCAGAGGUGGAAGAUCAAAUGGAGGGUUAAAUAAAUUUCUGGUCUUUUGCUAAUAUCUAUAUGUGGUUUGAAGGCACCGCAUGAGUUUUCCUACCCACAAGAAGGGUUGCAGGUUGAACAAUAGAGUAUGCGGCAUACUCACAUUUGUAGCGGUCAAGGGAGCUGGUCACUCUGUUUCCUACCCAGCAAAUAAACAAAGAAAGCAUCAUAGAAAUCUUAAUUUAACCAUUGUAAAUGCGUGGUUACUAUUUACUUGUUUAAAUACAAUCUCGUCAAAAUUGUGUUCGUUUCUUA
Molecule: long non-coding RNA, 957 nt
Organism: Vicia villosa (hairy vetch)
Lineage: Eukaryota; Viridiplantae; Streptophyta; Magnoliopsida; Fabales; Fabaceae
Exons: 2
Source: RefSeq, a predicted model, not a curated record